This 433-nucleotide ribosomal RNA is filed under the name uncultured bacterium. Its description in RNAcentral is "partial 16S ribosomal RNA". It matches the Rfam family "Bacterial small subunit ribosomal RNA", at positions 29 to 507 of the family's 1533-position model. The record is from RNAcentral.
AACGAACGCUGGCGGCAUGCCUAACACAUGCAAGUCGAACGAGACCUUCGGGUCUAGUGGCGCACGGGUGCGUAACGCGUGGGAACCUGCCCUUAGGUUCGGAAUAACUCCCCGAAAGGGGUGCUAAUACCGGAUAAUGUCUUCGGACCAAAGAUUUAUCGCCUUUGGAUGGGCCCGCGUUGGAUUAGCUAGUUGGUAGGGUAAAAGCCUACCAAGGCGACGAUCCAUAGCUGGUCUGAGAGGAUGAUCAGCCACACUGGGACUGAGACACGGCCCAGACUUCUACGGGAGGCAGCAGUGGGGAAUAUUGGACAAUGGGCGAAAGCCUGAUCCAGCAAUGCCGCGUGAGUGAUGAAGGCCUUAGGGUUGUAAAGCUCUUUUACCCGGGAUGAUAAUGACAGUACCGGGAGAAUAAGCUCCGGCUAACUCCGUG